RNAcentral lists this unclassified non-coding RNA (1931 nucleotides) under Hevea brasiliensis (rubber tree). The record is from RNAcentral. Lineage: Eukaryota; Viridiplantae; Streptophyta; Magnoliopsida; Malpighiales; Euphorbiaceae.
AUCAAGUCUAAAUUUUUUAAAACUCGACUAGAUUUAGUUCAUUUACAACCCUAAAAAUGACACUGCUUUAUCUAAGAACAAUAAAAAUUGUGGUCCAACUUUGUUAUGUUUUUAUGUAUAGCUAGCUUCUCUCUUGCUAGCAUUAUUCAACAGACAAAGGAUGAUAAGGGAUUGGGAGUAAGUACAAGUUUUCUUUCUUUCUUAUUGUCAAGCCAUUGGCCUCGGUCAUGUCAAGCUCUUCAGGCUUCAAUCCACUGGCAAGUUUCCAGUCAAAAUGGUAUAACAACUGAGCAAGUGGCAACUCAACAUUAGCGAGACCCAUUGAUAUUCCAGGACAUAUCCUCCUUCCAGAACCAAAAGGGAGAUACUCAAAAUCGAUCCCCUUGUAAUCGAUUGAACUAUUGAUAAAUCUCUCUGGAUGGAACUCCUCGGCUUGGAUCCAAUACUUAGGAUCUCGACCAAUUGCCCAUGUGUUAAUGAGAACUUUCGUCUUGGCAGGUAUAUGAUAUCCAUUAAUCACACAACUUGUGCCACAUUCUCUUGCAAUAAGAGAUAAAGGAGGGUGUAGCCUCAAGGUUUCUUUGAUUACUGAUUUCAAAAAUUUCAGCUCAUUUAUUCUGGUUUCAUCUACAGUUCCUUUUGGAUCAAAUACUCGUCUUACUUCAGCCUGUGCCUCCUUCAUCAGCUUUGGAUUCUUCAACAAUUCUGACAUUGCCCACUCUAAUGUUGAUGAUGACGUCUCAGUCCCAGCAGCAAACACAUCCUGCUAACAGGCUUUGAAACUUCAAUAUCCUUAUUGAUGUGAAAUUUGGAAAAAAGAAAAAAAAAAUACUGACCAGAAUGAUUGCUUUAAGACUGGCGUCAGAUAGAGCAAAUUCAAGAUUUCCCUGUUCUUGAAGCUUUAAAAGAACAUGAAUAAGAUCUUCUACUUCAUUACCGCUGCCCACCUGAGAGGCUGUGGCUUGGCUUUUUUGCUCCCUAAUGAUAUUCUCAAUUAUCCGAUCAACUUGUCGAUGCACCUUCUCAAGUUUAGACCUUAAUCCACUCAUCUGUUGAAAAACUUUAAUUGAAGGGUACAAAUCUGCAAUAGCAAAACCUGAAGAGAGACUUAUAAAUCGUUCGACGGCUGAAACCAAUUCUUCCUGAUCUCUGCACUUUUUACCAACUGCAGCUCGCUGUAUUAUGCUGUUCGUAAUUAGGAAAAGUUUCUCAGAAAGAUUGAUCGGAGACUUGCCGGUCUGUGAAAUUGUUUUGAUGAAAUUAGAAACUUCCUCUUCCCUGAUUGACCGGAAGGAUUGGACGCGCUUUGGGCUGAGAAGUUCCACUGUGCAAAUUUUUCGAAGCUGUCUCCAAUAACUACCAUAGGGAGAAAACACGAUGUCGAUACAACCAUAAAAUAAGAUGAAGGAAGCAAUAGGGUGAGGCCUUUGAGCGAAGAUGAUAUCAUGGGUUUUCAAGACCUCUUCUGCAGCUUCUGCAGACGAAACGACAACGACGGAAACUUCUCCUAGUUGCAGGUGCAUCAGGGGUCCAUAUUUCUUGGCCAAAUCUGCAAGCUUGUGAUGAAGGAGUGAGCCCAGAAGACAGUGAAUGUUUCCAACAAAAGGCAAUUUCCAGGGCCCCGGUGGGAGCUUAAGGGUUGAGUUGUUGUUGACCUUUUUUUUAAGUAGCAGGGUUAGCAUGAAGAGAAGAAGAAGGAAAGCACAGAUGGCAGGAAUGGUGGGAAAUGUGAGCUCCAUAGAGACAACGACUGUUGAAGAGAUCUGGUAAUUAGUUAAAUCAUGUUAGCAUGAAGAGAAGGAGAAGGAAAGCACAGAUGGGUGGAAUGGUGGGAAAUGUGAGCUCCAUAGAGACAACGACUGUUGAAGAGAUCUGGUAAUUAGUUAAAUCAUGUUAGCAUGAAGAGAAGGAGAAGGAAAGCACAGAUGGGU